RNAcentral lists this ribosomal RNA (468 nucleotides) under uncultured bacterium. Its description in RNAcentral is "partial 16S ribosomal RNA". It matches the Rfam family "Bacterial small subunit ribosomal RNA", at positions 28 to 507 of the family's 1533-position model. The record is from RNAcentral.
GACGAACGCUGGCGGCGUGCUUAACACAUGCGAGUCGAACGGAAAGGCCCUGCUUUUGUGGGGUGCUCGAGUGGCGAACGGGUGAGUAACACGUGAGUAACCUGCCCUUGACUUUGGGAUAACUUCAGGAAACUGGGGCUAAUACCGGAUAGGAGCUCCUGUUGCAUGGUGGGGGUGGGAAAGUUUCGGCGGUUGGGGAUGGACUCGCGGCUUAUCAGCUUGUUGGUGGGGUAGUGGCUUACCAAGGCAUUGACGGGUAGCCGGCCUGAGAGGGUGACCGGCCACAUUGGUACUGAGAUACGGCCCAGACUCCUACGGGAGGCAGCAGUGGGGAAUAUUGCACAAUGGGCGGAAGCCUGAUGCAGCAACGCCGCGUGCGGGAUGACGGCCUUCGGGUUGUAAACCGCUUUCGCCUGUGACGAAGCGUGAGUGACGGUAAUGGGUAAAGAAGCACCGGCUAACUACGUG